CGGAGGAAGCCCGCUUCCCGAGUGCAGGCGGGUCUGUGAAACCGCACCCUUGGGUGGGUGGGGGCGUUGUCUUGGACGAAAUUAAGCACGGUAAGGCCCUGACCAGGAGAGGGUCACCGUGACUACAACCACCUCCCUUUCCUCAACGAGGUUAUGCAAUGGAGGAAGAAGCUGACAAGAGAAAUGAGACCAUAAAGCUCUACGAGGAGCAGCUCUUUCAAAUUGUUAAUCAGUGUGAUGUAUCAAAGAGAAGGCUGCUUUGUCCUUCCUAAAGAGAGCAGGAGGCUACGUGUGGCUAUCUGGACCCCUGAGCCCUGGAAAAUCACCUGAAUUCUUUUCUGGAAUGAACUGGAUAUAGGUUAACAAAUUACUUGUGUAAACAUUUUAUUCUGUCAACACAAGUUGUGUAUGAGAAACUUCUUGGUUGCUAAAGUAAGCCAGUAACCUCGGUGGUUGCAUCUUCACAUCUGAAUAAUGAAGGGCUGGACCAGAGGAUCUGGAGCUGCCUGACGUUGUCUCACUCCACGACCAGGGAGAAGCGGAAGCGGGAAACAUUCUGCCCAUUGAUGACUUUUUUUUUCCUUUGGUACUGGGGAUCAAACUCGGGACCUUGCAUUUUCCAGGCAGGCGGCGGAACCACUGAGCUAAAUCCCCAGCCCCAUUGAUGGCUUUUUACAACAGAGGCUUUUGUUAGCUGUUUCUCUUUCAAGGCAAGGCAGGGAAGGCACCCAUUUUGUGUAUGUGUCUCCUGGUCAUAGGGUAAGAGAGGAGAAGAAGGUUUUGCUGUACUCUCUACUUCCUGUGGUGAUACUGCUUUUUUUUUUUUUUUUUUGUGAGGAAAAGUAUUGUUUCUUUUUUAAACCUUGCAUAGAAUUCUUAUAUGGGAAAGAAAGACGUGGGAGGGCCUGAAGCCGGUCCCGAGGGCUUUCCCUUUGGCCCAGAGAUACCUGGUCUCUCUGGAAGACAUGUAGGAAACCAGUGCUCUAAAGCAGUCUCCCCAAGGCCCAAGUUCUGCAUCUCUCCAUGCUGUCCCCAUGUAAAAGUGCUGGUGGUGGGGCAAACUGUAAAUGGUUACGGGUGUGCAACUCUGUGGAGGGCUAGGGACGUGAGAGAUGAGGGGUAGAGAGAGGCCAUUUCCUUGUGAAGCCGAGAUGGGCACAGGCGGGACCCGGCGGCUGUACAUGGAGCAGAAAAGACCCAUGGAUGACUCAAAGUGAGGUGCGCCCUCCCUGUUGUCGUGAAGGCCGCUGUCUAGUUGAGUCGCUUCUGUAGCGGGAAUAGUCAGUGUCAUUAAUUUUCCCCUGUACUGAGUGGGCCGUGGAACAUGAAGCUGACUUGAUGGAUCACAGUGCCACUUCGGAGCAGAGUGGUCAAAGUCUGCCUUACAGGACGUAAAGGACAGAAACCAAGAAUGCCAUCAUUAAUUCAAAGAUACUUGAAGGCUGAGAUGAGAACCUUUUGGCUUCUCAGGGCCAAUUUAUUUCCCUAGAAAGGAGGACUACAACAGACAAGAAUUUCUGACACAUCAUGGGAAAAAGUGAAGAAGUCAAUCUUUGGGGUGUGUUUUUACCCAGGAGGUGGCCUGCAAUGGGUUAGUGGCACAUCACAAUAAAUUAUUUAUCAGGACGUGUAAGAUCACAGUCAUCCUGGAGUUUUGCCUGACCGGAUGUAAAAUCAAUGUGGAGCUGAAAUUCAGUGAAUAACCAUGCUGACUGGACCUACUCAAUGGAGAACCACAGAAAAUAUCUUCCUGGGUACCCCAGUGUAACAAAGCAAAGGUGCUAUUUUGUUUUGCAUCGGUGGUCUUAUGGCUAAGCACAUUAUAUUUAGCAGCUGGAGUCCCCUCAUUUGAUUUUCAACCUCACCCAACUAGACAUUUGGCAAUCUCGAUUAAAUGGCUUUCUCAUUCUGUCACUAAAAUUUUAACAGCAGUUGUUAAGUGAAACAUGAGAAAGCUGUGUUCACUACCAUGUA
Long non-coding RNA from Heterocephalus glaber (naked mole-rat), 1974 nucleotides. Lineage: Eukaryota; Metazoa; Chordata; Mammalia; Rodentia; Bathyergidae. The record is from Ensembl.